This is a long non-coding RNA of Dendrobium catenatum, 1243 nucleotides long. RefSeq lists it as uncharacterized. Lineage: Eukaryota; Viridiplantae; Streptophyta; Magnoliopsida; Asparagales; Orchidaceae. The record is from RefSeq and is a predicted model, not a curated record. The transcript is spliced from 2 exons.
UUUCUUCUUUUGGCGCGCUUCUUCGCCCAAAUCCCAUAAAUCCGCCGAACCGAGGGAUUUAGUAAAUCUCAAAUUUAUGCCGUAAAUCCCUAAAUCCAGGAUUUAUAGAAUCCCGGGAUUUAACGCGCGCUGUAAAACCAUUUGGCUGGAUUUAGCGUAAAUCCGACUUAAAUUCAGGAAUAAAUCCGAUACGAAGCAGCCCCUAAAUGUUUUUGCUAAUUCAUCUGGGCUUCAUACAAACCAGGUAAAAGGUUAUAUUUUGUUUUUUUUUAAUCACUUAUUCCUUCCCUGCUAUUUGUAUUCUGUUAAACAUCCUCACCCCUCUAAAAAAUUCACCUAUCUUGGCCUCCCGAUUUCUUCUUACAGGUUGAUUUCCUCUGACUUUCAGACUCUUACUCAAAAAAUGUCUGGAUUAUUAGAUGGUUUGGAAGCUCGUCUUUUGUCUUUUGCUGGAAGAUUUCAGUUCUUAAGUUUUACUAUCUAUAACACUGUUGCUUAUUGGUUAAGAGGGGUUAUUAUAUCUAAAGCUGGGAUUAAAUUCAUAAACAAGGUAUGUUCCAGAUUUUUUUCAUGGUGAUUCUUCGGGGGAAAAAUUACAUAUCCUCUUUUGGAAUGAUACUUGUAAAACCAGAUGGUUUGCGGGUCUGGGUGUACCGACAAUUCCUGCUUUGUGUCAUGGCUUUGGCUGCUCUUUAAUAUGGUGUAUAAUUAAUGGGAAGAAUCUCUUGUAUUAUGGACUGAAGCUCAAGUACAAAUCCCCUUGGAAGCAUCCUCAUGAUAGAGCUUCCAUAUAUUGGAAGCUUCUUUUCUCAGUGGCCUUGAAGAUUAAAGGUCUUUCUUUUGGCAACCAGUGGCAUUUCCUCCCCUUGGAAGGUCCCCUCGGCAACCAGGGGAACCGGCAUCCACAUGAUGAUAUCCAAUUUUUGGGUUAAUUUUGUUUCGGUCAUUCUGAGUCCUUCUAGCUUUGUUGUUAUUUGUUCCCCUUAUCUCUAAUGUCUUCUAUUUCUUUCCUUUCACUUUUUGGUUGUUUUUUAGUUUUAGGAUCACUUUUAUGUGCUCUUUUGGAUUUUGAGCUCAUAAUUUUUUGGUAGAUCAGGUUACUGGUUUCAUUUGUAUUUUCUUUUUCUUUGAACCUUUGCUCUUUGUAAUUUUUCUUUGUACUUAAAUGGAUAUGGGCUAAGCCCUCCCCCUAAUUUCCCACCAAAAAAUAAUCAAACUACUUUGUACGGCAACAUUUCUCUGC